ACAAAUGGUUUAUAGCUAUGUGGUCCAAUAUGGUACCUGCUAGCCACAUGUGGCUAUUUAAAUUUAGUUAAAAUGGAAUAAAAGUUAAACUUAGUUCUUCGCACUACCCGUAUUUCAAGUGUUCAAAUGUGGCUCAUGGCUACCAUAUUGGAUAGCACAGAAUCCAAACAUUUCCAUUGUCACAGACAGUUCUAUUGGACGGUGCUGGUAUAACUUGUACCACUUCUGUUACACAAAAGGGAGAGACAGAGGGAAAAUACCAAGCUCACCACUCCAGUAGCACAGGAAGAGAGAAGACCGCAAGACCUACCCAUGCUUUCUGCCGUUGAAUGUGCUAUGAACUCCAGUUCCCAAAGGUGGCCCAUGUAACACCCUAGAACCUAACCAAUCCUAGGUACUCUUCCUCCUCCCUGGAGUGGAUCAAGGGCUGGUGUGAGCUUGUAAGUAUCUCUCUAAGCCCAGAGUCUGACUAUGAAGUAGGUGUGUCAUAUGUCCCUGG
Molecule: long non-coding RNA, 499 nt
Filed under: Homo sapiens (human)
Lineage: Eukaryota; Metazoa; Chordata; Mammalia; Primates; Hominidae
Description: HSALNT0071436
Source: RNAcentral